Long non-coding RNA from Macaca mulatta (Rhesus monkey), 1654 nucleotides. The record is from Ensembl. NCBI's taxonomy places the organism in Eukaryota, Metazoa, Chordata, Mammalia, Primates, Cercopithecidae.
GUGAAUGUCCUUUAGGUGUGAUAUAUGGCCUCUCUUUGACCACCAAGGUGGUGCACCCAACCUGAAUUUAUUCUUUUAAUAUCUCAGCCUAGGAGUGAUAGCUCCAUGUUCUUUAUUCUCUUUGAUGAAGCACUUAAGGGAUUACCUGUACCUUCCAAGCUGAAGUGCUGCUCAGGAGAGAAAGGAAAGGAGUGUGGCCCUGUGACCUAAUGGAAUUAAUAACUUUGGGGCAAUUUAUCUUCUCUUGUUGACUUCCCACACCCCUUAUUUCCAUCCUUACUGCCAAGACCCAUUAGGGACACCAAGUUGGUGGUGAAAAACUGAGAAGCACUCUAAAAAUGUGCAGGGGGUGGGACAUUUGGGCAUUUCUUUCUUCAUUUUGUUCUCUUGUAGAGGUGGGGUCUCACUUUGUUGCCUAGUCUGUCUUUGUAAGGAAAGAAGGAAGCUUCCUUAUCCUGUCACUACUCAAGCUGCAGUGAAUCGUACCCUUUGUUAUGGCCCCUCUUGCACCAAAACGGGGAGCUCCCACCUGAUGCUCAGCACCUCCUCAGCAUUUUCUCUUGCUACCUCACAAGAUGGUAAGCUCUCUUUGGAGAAACACAAACAUCUCCUCCCACCACGUCCCGCCCUGGUGUCCCAGGCUCUUGGAGAUGCUCAGAAAACACACAGAGAGGUGGAACAGCACAUGCGUGACAGCUGAUGAUGGAUGUUGUGGUGACUCCUAAAUAGCUCUCCCCACAAACCCUGGAGCCCUGCACCCCAGCGCCCCCGAGCCUCCCCUCUAGACCUUCUGUGUUGCCAGAACUGUGAUGGAUGGCAGCACCAUCAUCUGUCCUUUUCCCUGUCCUUCUGGCACACAGGACAGUGCCCAACAUGAGGACAAUUGGGAGGAGUUGGGAGAAAAAUAACACUGUUGAUGUAGCCAAGAAGCCAGGCGAGAUGAUUUACCAUACAUUCCUCAUGGAGGCCACUCCCUCCACCCCUGACGCCUGACUGGCUCCAGUUUAAACAUUCCCUUUGGUGUUUGAGGAGAAUGGAUGGAAUUUGCCUGUUUCUCUUCCAACAGCAGCUAGUGCCUGGGGACAGGAUUGCUGUGGCUGACACGUAGAGACAGCCAUCAUCAGCCAAAGAGAGGGGACUGGAGGGCCCCCACUGACCACCAUGGAGCCGAGACAGAACUUGCUGCUCCUCUCUGACACCUGAUCCCCACCACUCCCACCUGUAUGGCCAUCGAGGCUGGACUAAUGGAGAGGAGGGAAACUGAGGGAGAGGGAGGGGUCGAGUGAAAUGGAAAGGUGUGGAGAAGAGCUGCAGCUGGUGUCUGAACCCAGCUAUCAGACUCCCCUUUGACCUGAUGCCUCUUUCUCUACAUGGUGCCUCAGUUUCCCUCCGGGGUUUGAAGGGCUGCACCUGGUCAGAAUUUGCUAAAGUGUGGCGUUACAAUGACAGGAAAAAUCUCUAAUAUAUCCACAGGCCCCAAUCACUGACAACCUUCCUUGUGAACAAAGCUGGACUCAGGCUCUGAAUCCUCUUGAGGCAAGAGUCUCUAGCUAGACUUCAGUAACACGCGGUUUCUGUUUUUCACAGUUACCAUCUAUUAAAUAUGGCAAGGAUUAAUGAUUUCCCACUUCUGACCCUGUGUAAAGAAAUCUAC